Molecule: ribosomal RNA, 590 nt
Filed under: uncultured archaeon
Lineage: Archaea
Description: bacterial SSU rRNA
Rfam family: Archaeal small subunit ribosomal RNA
Source: RNAcentral
CGGUUGAUCCUGCCGGACCUGACUGCUAUCGGAUUGAUACUAAGCCAUGCGAGUCAUUGUAGCAAUACAAGGCAUACGGCUCAGUAACGCGUAGUCAACCUAACCUAUGGACGGGAAUAACCUCGGGAAACUGAGAAUAAUGCCCGAUAGAACACUAUACCUGGAAUGGUUUGUGUUCCAAAUGAUUUAUCGCCGUAGGAUGGGACUGCGGCCUAUCAGUUUGUUGGUGAGGUAAUGGCCCACCAAGACUAUUACAGGUACGGGCUCUGAGAGGAGUAGCCCGGAGAUGGGUACUGAGACACGGACCCAGGCCCUAUGGGGCGCAGCAGGCGAGAAAACUUUGCAAUGUGCGAAAGCACGACAAGGUUAAUCCGAGUGAUUUGUGCUAAACGAAUCUUUUGUUAGUCCUAGAACCACUAACGAAUAAGGGGUGGGCAAGUUCUGGUGUCAGCCGCCGCGGUAAAACCAGCACCUCAAGUGGUCAGGAUGAUUAUUGGGCCUAAAGCAUCCGUAGCCGGCUCUGUAAGUUUUCGGUUAAAUCUGUACGCUUAACGUACAGGCUGCCGGGAAUACUGCAGAGCUAGGGAGUG